GAUGAACGCUGGCGGCGUGCCUAAUACAUGCAGGUCGAACGCAUAGCGAAAGGUGCUUGCACCUUUCAAGUGAGUGGCGAACGGGUGAGUAACACGUGGACAACCUGCCUCAAGGCUGGGGAUAACAUUUGGAAACAGAUGCUAAUAUCGAAUAAAACUUAGUGUCGCAUGACACAAAGUUAAAAGGCGCUUCGGCGUCACCUAGAGAUGGAUCCGCGGUGCAUUAGUUAGUUGGUGGGGUAAAGGCCUACCAAGACAAUGAUGCAUAGCCGAGUUGAGAGACUGAUCGGCCACAUUGGGACUGAGACACGGCCCAAACUCCUACGGGAGGCUGCAGUAGGGAAUCUUCCACAAUGGGCGAAAGCCUGAUGGAGCAACGCCGCGUGUGUGAUGAAGGCUUUCGGGUCGUAAAGCACUGUUGUAUGGGAAGAACAGCUAGAAUAGGAAAUGAUUUUAGUUUGACGGUACCAGACCAGAAAGGGACGGCUAAAUACGUG
RNAcentral lists this ribosomal RNA (497 nucleotides) under uncultured bacterium. Its description in RNAcentral is "partial 16S ribosomal RNA". It matches the Rfam family "Bacterial small subunit ribosomal RNA", at positions 28 to 507 of the family's 1533-position model. The record is from RNAcentral.